UAAAUUUAAUAUUUUUUUAAAAAUAAAUUUUAAAUAAUUAUGAUACUUAUGAAAUAUUUUUAUGUGAUAUAUGGAGUUUUAAGAAAAAAAACUAAGGAUUGAGAGGAGAAAAUAAAAGAAAAAUGGGAAGAAAUAGGAAAAAAGAAGAAGGAAUCUAUACCGCUGACUUGUUAUUGUGCUUUUGUAAGGUGUUGCUUUUUUGUAUUCUGAUGGCCAAAUCUAUAGUAAAGUGAUUGAGCUGCACAUUUUGUUAGUACAGGUGCGUUCUUUCUCUAUCAUCUUCAAAAGUAUGUUUCUUGCUGUCUCACAUUUAGUCUUUAUCAUACCAGCAAUAUGGUAGACAACGACUUUCGUGCCCAUUUUUAUUUCUUCUUACCCUUUUCUUCCCAGCUACAUGACAAACAUCAUUCAACCUUUUUCAAUCUCACCAUCGAUCAUUACACAAUAAUUGCAAAAAUAUGUUUAUACACCACACUAUUUUAUUCCAAGAGGAUUAAUAUUUUUGGAAUAAAAUUAGUUGAUUUCUAAACGUAUAAUUAAGAACGUGAUGUUGUUCCACAUAAACUGGAAGAGAUGAUUAGGAGUAGGGAAUAAAAUCAAAAUCUUUGACUAAGACAAAGGGUUGUUAAUAAAGCAGAGAAAGAUUGCACGAGGUAGAAUUUGUGAACUGUCUUUUUCUCCUUGUCUUCCCGUUUACUGCAGCGACUCCUAAAUUUCAAUGCGCAUGCAAUUGUUCUUGUCUAGUUCAAAAUGUUGACGCUCCUUGUGCCUCGACUCCACACACUAUGCAUCAUCACUUGGAAAAUUCCUUCGGUGUUCCUGAUGUGAAUUAUCAGAACGUUCUUUUCAUGUGAGCAAGAAAAUUAGCAGACAUGGAAAGGACGUGGAAGACACAAAAAUAACACAUUUGAUAUAAGAAAGUUGUAGUGUCAUGAGCCGAAACCCGAUUAUGAUUAAGAACGAUCGUCUAUCCAUUCUUGUAUUUAAGAGUAUUUGAUAACGAAUCAGUGAGAAUUUUGAACGUUUCAGUUUUAGACAGAAGAUAACAUGUAUUAUGCGAAUUAGAUAAUUACAAAAGGAUUAUAGUAAAAUCCUCUGUAUAUAUGGAAUAACACAUAAAAAAGAGAAACAUAUUACAUAUUAGGUUAUGAGUAAACUUAUUUUUU
Molecule: long non-coding RNA, 1166 nt
Filed under: Phaseolus vulgaris (common bean)
Lineage: Eukaryota; Viridiplantae; Streptophyta; Magnoliopsida; Fabales; Fabaceae
Description: long non-coding RNA (PVUL_LNC001976)
Source: RNAcentral